GAAUUGCGAUAAGUAAUGUGAAUUGCAGAAUUCAGUGAAUCAUCGAAUCUUUGAACGCAACUUGCACCCCUUGGUAUUCCUGGGGGUAUGCCUGUUUGAGUGUCAUUUAUCUUAUUCUCAAUUCAGGUGGCAGAGAAGGCUUGUCUUUUCUCUACACUUUGUGUUGGAUGGUGAAGGUUGCUGGGCCUUGCUGGUUCAGCUCCUUUGAAAUGCAUUGAAGCAAGUUGACAAGAACCAGCUUACAGUUUGAUAGGGAUCUAGCUGUUUGCUGUGAAGUUGACUUAUGCUUUUUGGUCUCUGAUGAGACUGCUCAAUUUUAUGAGCAAUAUGUUGUUAACUUGACCUCAAAUCAGGUAGGAUUACCCGCUGAACUUAA
This 376-nucleotide unclassified non-coding RNA is filed under the name uncultured Pleurotus. RNAcentral's name for it is "sequence contains ITS1". The stretch from base 1 to 105 matches the Rfam family "5.8S ribosomal RNA", at positions 50 to 154 of the family's 154-position model. The record is from RNAcentral. Lineage: Eukaryota; Fungi; Basidiomycota; Agaricomycetes; Agaricales.